Molecule: ribosomal RNA, 462 nt
Filed under: uncultured bacterium
Lineage: Bacteria
Description: partial 16S ribosomal RNA
Rfam family: Bacterial small subunit ribosomal RNA
Source: RNAcentral
GAUGAACGCUGACAGAAUGCUUAACACAUGCAAGUCAUUGGCGAAGCUGCGCUUGCGCAGUCUAGCCAAGGCGGACGGGUGAGUAACGCGUAAGGAACUUGCCCUGCAGACAGGGAUAACAGACGGAAACGACUGAUAACACCUGGUAUUGUCAGGCUGGCGCAUGCCGGCCUGAUGAAAGGAGACGCUGCAGGAGAGCCUUGCGUCCUAUUAGCUAGUUGGUGGGGUAACGGCCCACCAAGGCGAUGAUAGGUAGCCGGCCUGAGAGGGUGAACGGCCACAAGGGGACUGAGAUGCGGCCCUUACUCCUACGGGAGGCAGCAGUGAGGAAUAUUGGACAAUGGGGGCAACCCUGAUCCAGCAAUUCUGUGUGCACGAAGAAGGUUUUCGGAUUGUAAAGUGCUUUCAGCAGGGAAGAAGAAAGUGACGGUACCUGCAGAAGAAGCGACGGCUAAAUACGUG